This is a long non-coding RNA of Stomoxys calcitrans (stable fly), 1111 nucleotides long. RefSeq lists it as uncharacterized. The transcript has 2 exons. Lineage: Eukaryota; Metazoa; Arthropoda; Insecta; Diptera; Muscidae. The record is from RefSeq and is a predicted model, not a curated record.
UAUUGUCCAUUUGUAUUUGAUUUGAAAUUUGUAUGCCCCAUUUUUUAUUGAUAUUUGCCUUCCCUCCCUUUCUAUCAGUUUGCUAUCAAUCAAUUUAAUUUUGAUUUCCCUUUGCAAGUGACAACAUACAAACUGGGCAGGGUUUUUCAACAGCUAAAUAGAAGUAGACCGGGCGAAAGAGAAGGGGGAUAUCUGGAGUCAGAGAAGAGAUUACGUCGUUGUCCUUUUGCGAUAAACUACCAACGAUUACAAACUCGUUUAAGGCAAACAAGGAGUUGGAAAGCGCAGGCGCUAAACUUUUCCCUACUUACACAUCCUACAUUUGGGUAAAUUUUCAAAGAAAAUUUUUGGUGGAGAGAGGAAAAGUGGCCGUCAUUGUGGGUAGGGGAAGGAGAAAGGGGAGAUGCACAAGGUGUUAUAAAACUUUUGGGUGAAUUCAGCACAAAACAUAUACAAAGUGAGACACCAACCCUCGAACUAAUAAUUUACAAUUAUUUCUUAAUUGAGGAAAAUAUUUUAAAGUAAAUAUUAACUUACUGGCAUUCGUUCAUAAUCUCAUCCUGACUGCGUACUUGAACUGGCGCCAGCGCCUCCACAUUCUCCUCAAAAUUGCCAAAACAUUUGGUAAUCUUUUCAUCGAAAGUAUUGACCAAAUCUUCCAAACUGCCACCAAACGCUUCACCAAAAUUAUCGGUGGCAUCUGCAUUACCCUUGGCACCAGCAUCCAAUGUGGUAGACAUCUCGGCGCUUAGCAUGGUAUUGCAAUUGGGACUUAUAUUGCCUCCCACGUUAUAUCCACCAUUCUUGCUGACAUGGGCAUCCCUCACGGCUUCCUCGAGCAGACGAAUUUUAUUUUCUUGGGCCGCCAUGGGAUCCUUGAGAUUCAAGUUCAAUGAGUCAUUGAUGGUAUUUUGAUUGGAGAUGAAAUCACAGCCGGCCCAGUCAUCGGUCUCAUCCAUCUUUGCCAAGGGAGCCUCAAAUUUAAGCUCGGCCAUUUUCGAGCCGAGGUCACGCAUGGCCUAAAUAAACACUCAAUUAAAUAAACAAAAGUCUGAGACGGAGCAGUUUUAUUCUUCUUUUUCUAGCUUAGCCAGUGACCACAACAAGUAAA